This 354-nucleotide ribosomal RNA is filed under the name uncultured bacterium. RNAcentral's name for it is "bacterial SSU rRNA". It matches the Rfam family "Bacterial small subunit ribosomal RNA", at positions 917 to 1264 of the family's 1533-position model. The record is from RNAcentral.
GGACCCGCACAAGUAGUGGAGCAUGUGGUUUAAUUCGAAGAUACGCGCAGAACCUUACCAACACUUGACAUGUUCGUCGCGACUUUAAGAGAUUAAAGUUUUCGGUUCGGCCGGACGAAACACAGGUGCUGCAUGGCUGUCGUCAGCUCGUGUCGUGAGAUGUUGGGUUAAGUCCCGCAACGAGCGCAACCCUCACUUUUAGUUGCCAUCAUUUAGUUGGGCACUCUGAAAGAACUGCCAGUGAUAAGCUGGAGGAAGGUGGGGAUGACGUCAAGUCCUCAUGGCCCCUUACGUGUUGGGCUACACACGUGCUACAAUGGUAUCUACAACAGGAAGCCAAAAAUCUGCGAAGUU